RNAcentral lists this long non-coding RNA (233 nucleotides) under Lathyrus oleraceus (garden pea). RNAcentral describes it as "Pisum sativum (pea) long non-coding RNA (PSAT_LNC017907)". The record is from RNAcentral. Lineage: Eukaryota; Viridiplantae; Streptophyta; Magnoliopsida; Fabales; Fabaceae.
UUGGGUACUACAGAAAUUGGUAAAAAAAAAAGAAAAAUAAGAAGUUAAAAAUAGCUUCUUCAAUUGUUUUUUGAAAAAUAGGGUCAGCAAUAUGCAAUUCUCUAGUACGAAGUGUAUUACAAAAGAAUGAGAUGGAAGGAAUCGAUAACAUCGGGAAAAUUAGGUACCUAACUCCAAAGAUUCAAGCAUAUUAUUCUAAAGUAUCCUACCCUGACAUAAGUCACACUAGAACC